RNAcentral lists this long non-coding RNA (749 nucleotides) under Chinchilla lanigera (long-tailed chinchilla). RNAcentral's name for it is "lncRNA (ENSCLAG00000025236.1)". The record is from RNAcentral. Lineage: Eukaryota; Metazoa; Chordata; Mammalia; Rodentia; Chinchillidae.
AUUGAGAACCUGACCCUACAGGACAGUGGGCGAUACAAGGCAUACAGCAGGUUAAGUGAUGGACCAGAAGUUUUCCAAAUUUUCCACCUCAAGGUCUAUGAGCCUGUGUCCCCUCCACAGAUCCUGGUUCAGACAUUGUCCAUCACACCAGACUGGUGCAACUUCAUCUUAGAAUGAAGUGCCACAGGGGCCACAGAGAACCUGAAUGUGACCUGGAAGAGGAAGGGUCUCCCCAGGGAGCUGGAGCAGAGAGGGACACUAAGAUUGUCCCCCAACACCUGGGUCCAGAUUGUAAGCCUGCCCCUGAGCCAAGCCAAUGCCAGCCUCACCUGUGUGGUCAGCAAUCCUGUGGACCAGAACAAUGCCACCACAGACCUUGGUGUCAUAUGCUUAAAACGGGAAACAGGUGGACAGUCUGCAGCUGGCCUCAUAGGAGGGUUACUGGGGGGCUUCGUGGCUGUGCUUUUGCUUCUCGGAGUUGGACUAUAUUUUUGGAAGAUUCGUGAGAAGAAGAAAAUGACGGUGGAACAAAGCAGGGCAAGACUGCAGCAGGAUGAAAAUAUCUUCAAGGAUGACAUCAUGUAUGCAGAUGUUAUACAUCAGAAAUAUCAGAAGGAUAAGGACAAGGUGAGAGCUGGGAGUGGUGGCCAGCCUGGCCACUCACAGGUCACCCAUUGCCCACCCUGGGCUUCCUAAUCUCAGAUACCUGCUAUUUCUGUCUCUACUGUUCUUACCUCUAUUUGUAAUAU